GGGCCCGCACAAGCGGUGGAGCAUGUGGUUUAAUUCGAUGCAACGCGAAGAACCUUACCAGGGUUUGACAUCCUGCGAAUCUCUUGGAAACAGGAGAGUGCCUUCGGGAACGCAGUGACAGGUGGUGCAUGGCUGUCGUCAGCUCGUGUCGUGAGAUGUUGGGUUAAGUCCUAUAACGAGCGCAACCCCUAUCGUUAGUUGCCAGCGGGUCAUGCCGGGAACUCUAGCGAAACUGCCGGUGCAAACCGAGAGGAAGGUGGGGAUGACGUCAAAUCAUCACGGCCCUUACGUCCUGGGCCACACACGUGCUACAAUGGCCGGUACAGAGAGCAGCCACUACGCGAGUAGGAGCGAAUCUACAAAACCGGUCUCAGUUCGGAUCGCAGUCUGCAACUCGACUGCGUGAAGCUGGAAUCGCUAGUAAUCGC
RNAcentral lists this ribosomal RNA (428 nucleotides) under uncultured bacterium. RNAcentral's name for it is "bacterial SSU rRNA". It matches the Rfam family "Bacterial small subunit ribosomal RNA", at positions 917 to 1345 of the family's 1533-position model. The record is from RNAcentral.